AUUGAACGCUGGCGGCAUGCCUUACACAUGCAAGUCGAACGGCAGCACGGGAGCAAUCCUGGUGGCGAGUGGCGAACGGGUGAGUAAUACAUCGGAACGUGCCCAGCAGUGGGGGAUAACCCGGCGAAAGCCGGACUAAUACCGCAUACGACCUACGGGUGAAAGCGGGGGAUCGCAAGACCUCGCGCUAUCGGAGCGGCCGAUGUCAGAUUAGCUAGUUGGUUGGGUAAAGGCCUACCAAGGCGACGAUCUGUAGCUGGUCUGAGAGGACGACCAGCCACACUGGGACUGAGACACGGCCCAGACUCCUACGGGAGGCAGCAGUGGGGAAUGUUGGACAAUGGGCGCAAGCCUGAUCCAGCCAUGCCGCGUGCGGGAAGAAGGCCUUCGGGUUGUAAACCGCUUUUGUCAGGGAAGAAACGCUCCGGGCUAAUACCACGGAGUAAUGACGGUACCUGAAGAAUAAGCACCGGCUAACUACGUG
RNAcentral lists this ribosomal RNA (484 nucleotides) under uncultured bacterium. RNAcentral describes it as "partial 16S ribosomal RNA". It matches the Rfam family "Bacterial small subunit ribosomal RNA", at positions 29 to 507 of the family's 1533-position model. The record is from RNAcentral.